GGCCAGUAUUUUAAACUUCAUAAAUUUAAGAAAAAGUAUUACUUAACAUGCCAGUUUAUGAUAGUACACACAUGUUUAAACGUCGUUUGCUUUAAAUGGAACAUAUGUGGAUACCUGAAAUUACUACGAUGAGAGCUGACGCAGUGAUGAUCUAAGAAAAGGCACUUAAUGGUUUACAUGGAUGAAAAAGAGGGCGCGGGACGCCAAGAAGGCGCCGUGUUGCCCAACACAAUAGAGGCAUGCGGGCCCCCUGUACAGUUAGAACCGGUUGAUUUGAGUCUUAAACGGCGGCCUCCAACCCCAAGACGUCGUCGACUUGGUAAGUGACUUUUAAAUUGUUAUUUUAUCGUAUUUUAAGUUAUUCAGAUUCCUUUUAAACUGCCUACU
Long non-coding RNA from Hyposmocoma kahamanoa, 387 nucleotides. RefSeq lists it as uncharacterized. The record is from RefSeq and is a predicted model, not a curated record. NCBI's taxonomy places the organism in Eukaryota, Metazoa, Arthropoda, Insecta, Lepidoptera, Cosmopterigidae. The transcript has 4 exons.